ACUUAAAUAGUUUAAAUAAAACUUUAACUUGUGGAGUUAGAAAUACAAUAUUUGUUUUAGGUA
RNAcentral lists this transfer RNA (63 nucleotides) under Myllocerinus aurolineatus. Its description in RNAcentral is "tRNA-His". Lineage: Eukaryota; Metazoa; Arthropoda; Insecta; Coleoptera; Curculionidae. The record is from RNAcentral.